GACGAACGCUGGCGGCGUGCUUAACACAUGCAAGUCGAACGGAAAGGCCCUGCUUUUGUGGGGUGCUCGAGUGGCGAACGGGUGAGUAACACGUGAGUAACCUGCCCUUGACUUUGGGAUAACUUCAGGAAACUGGGGCUAAUACCGGAUAGGAGCUCCUGCUGCGUGGUGGGGGUUGGAAAGUUUCGGCGGUUGGGGAUGGACUCGCGGCUUAUCAGCUUGUUGGUGGGGUAGUGGCUUACCAAGGCUUUGACGGGUAGCCGGCCUGAGAGGGUGACCGGCCACAUUGGACUGAGAUACGGCCCAGACUCCUACGGGAGGCAGCAGUGGGGAAUAUUGCACAAUGGGCGGAAGCCUGAUGCAGCAACGCCGCGUGCGGGAUGACGGCCUUCGGGUUGUAAACCGCUUUCGCCUGUGACGAAGCGUGAGUGACGGUAAUGGGUAAAGAAGCACCGGCUAACUACGUG
This 467-nucleotide ribosomal RNA is filed under the name uncultured bacterium. RNAcentral describes it as "partial 16S ribosomal RNA". It matches the Rfam family "Bacterial small subunit ribosomal RNA", at positions 28 to 507 of the family's 1533-position model. The record is from RNAcentral.